CGUAAAAUCCCAGGACCGGAGAGGAGACCCCCAGAGAUUGAAAAAAAAAAAAAAAAGAGCCUGAUCACCUCUGCAUAUGGUAAAUGAGUAACUUACCUAUAUUUUCCAUUCUUUGGAAUUGGUCUGCACUCUGGGCCUUCACUCGGCUUCCUGUGGUUAACGUCAGACAGGUAUAUAGUAUGCCCACAUGUCCCCUUUUAUAUAGAACCUGUCACUUGUCUAUCUACAGCCUGAGUCCUGAGUGUGAGUUUUAUGUGUGAAAGUGUCUGUUUGAGAAUCUGUUUUACUUUCUUGUGAUUAUUGAAUUCAGGGUGCAAAUAUACCUGGAGUUUUUAGGCCAGAUUAUAUUAAUAUUUUAAUAUUUUAAUAUUAAUUCUUGGCGUUUCUUUUGUUGUUUUUAAGUUCAGUUUGGAAAAAAAAGCUGGCGGGUUUUGUUUUUUGUCCGAUUUAUAUUAAAAUUAGAUCGUGGCGGUUCUUUUGUUGUUUUUAAGUUCAGUUUGGAAAAAAAAGCUGGCGGGUUUUGUUUUUUGUCCGAUUUAUAUUAAAAUUAGAUCGUGGCGGUUCUUUUGUUGUUUUUAAGUUCAGUUUGAAAAAAAAAAAAAGCUGGCGGAUUAUUUAGAUCAGGAUAGAAAAUAUUCUGGUGCAUUUGUUUGUUGAAAUAAUAAAAACAACGAACAAAGAGUUAAGUUGUUGUAUGU
Pelobates cultripes (western spadefoot toad) is the source of this 698-nucleotide non-coding RNA. The record is from the annotation of a GenBank genome assembly. NCBI's taxonomy places the organism in Eukaryota, Metazoa, Chordata, Amphibia, Anura, Pelobatidae.